CUGGGACAUGACAUUUGAAUAAAACACAUCUGCUUUUUGUGACAUACUUCCAAAUAAAUGUCAUCUCAACAUUUAGGCUCCAACCUUCUCAUGACUUGGAGAGAACUCACACUGCUCUUCAAAGCUUGGUACCCUCUGUGCACACUACAUGGAGUGGAAUGAAUCACCUGAUUCUGCCUACAUGGAAGAAGAAGAAA
RNAcentral lists this long non-coding RNA (197 nucleotides) under Fukomys damarensis (Damara mole-rat). RNAcentral's name for it is "lncRNA (ENSFDAG00000023494.1)". The record is from RNAcentral. Lineage: Eukaryota; Metazoa; Chordata; Mammalia; Rodentia; Bathyergidae.